AUUAUUGCAGACAUUCAUUAAGCAUGCUUUUGAUCUACUCACAAGAAAAAGUGAGUAAAGAAUCUAUGAGUGGCUUUGCACUGGGAGAUUAAAGAACAUGGACAUGUGCAAGAACCUUCUCCUCACUAACUCCAGGGAGACACGAGGCUUUUAUUGUAACCUGUCUUUAGCCGUAGAAUGAGUAACUUGGAUCACUAUUAGGAUAUAAGUGUACACAAAGAAUAGUGUCUCUAAUUUAAUCCACACAGAUAUAGCAGAAACGGCUCUUAAAGAAAUCUUCCUAGGAAGUAUGAUUAAUUAAUAAGAACUUAGGAUGAGUAUUGGUUUCAUAGGCAUGGCAAAAAAAAGAAUUUCAAGGAAGAAUUUGAGGAAUAGUAAGGGAAAGAGACAUUUAAGGAAAUUCUUUUACGGAUGAGUGGAGCAGACAGCAUACGAGAAAGAAAGGACCAGAAACACGAUUUUAAAGCUAUGGAACAUGACCACAUUUCCAUGUAUGCAAUACUUGCAGUGAGUGUGUUAGUCUGCCUGACAUCAUACGAUGCUGACACAUAAAAUCCUGAGUCUGAUGAAGAAAAAGUAAAAACCCCAUUUUGGCAACCAUCCUGCUGCCCAUUUACAGCAUGAUGCACGCUGUGACCCUCAGCAUGGAAACACCACUACCAGAUCAAGGCAUGGCUGUUGGUGCUGGUGAAAGUGAGGGAUUUUGCCUUAUGUAGCUGUCUGGAUGCCACCUCCUUCACUCAGCACUUCUCACAGUUCUUUGUCAGAGCUGCCUCAUCUUCACACCGCCAUGACUGAAUGUAGGAGUCCUCCUCUCUGAACCACCCAAUAAUUCUUUCAAGGUUCAAAGAAAUUUUGAAUAAAGUGAUCAGAUAUGCUGGAGGCUCCCCAAAAUGCUGGGGUUUUUCGCAAGGUAUCACUGUUCUGUCUGAUUUUCUUACAGAACACCACUCUUACCCAAAGAUGAGCCAAACUGUACACUUACUUAAAUAGGCAUAAAUAAGCCAUGUCUGCCAGUGUGGAAAUGCCUCAAAUGAAAUUGUUCUAAAAUAGGAUUGUAAUGUUUCUUUUUUUGGGAUCUCCUAGGCAAAAGGCAGAGCUACUGCUGAAGCAGUGCACAGGUAGGGAGUCUGGUAUUUCCAGGAAGAGACAGAUUCACUUUGUAUGCACUAAGAAAUGUCACAGAAGAAAUUGAUAGGCCAGAUUGACAACUCAUUCCUAGAUUACCUGGGAAGAACACAUACUCUAUUAUAUUUUGCACACUGUGAUACAUUCACAGUAGACAUGUCGAGCAGGAUGGGCUGAGUGAUUACUCUACCCUGGCUUCUUUCAGCCUGGAAAUCCUGGGUUAAUGUAAAAAGUCCUCCCCUUUCAGCCAGACAAAAGUUUCUAGAUGGAAGGAAACACGACACAUCUGGGAAAACCUGGAUGCAGGACAGCCACAGAACAUUGACACAUUUUAACUCAGAGCAAUAAUUUAGGCACCCAUGUCACCAAACUAAUUUCACUAUGAAGUGGAUAGAAAGAAGUACAUAGUACUGUUGGUUUUGUCUUCUCUUUUUAAGGAUUGUUGCUUCUCCCAUUUUGAUGCCAUUCCUACUAGAACAUCCUCUCACAACGUCACAGAAUGCAAGAGAAUUAUAUCCCGUAAACUACUUCGACUUUAUUUUCUUUCUAUAUAAAUCUUUCUAUAUUGAAUAUCUGUUCUCCCUUUAAAAUUGUCAGUUCUGAUCUGUUAGUUGUGGUUAUUUUGGCAAAAAUGUUAGUCUAACUUAUUCUCUCUCAAAUUUCUUUAUCUGACAGUCAUUGCUUUCUUUUCGGGGAUUCCAUUGCUCCCAGUGGAAUACAGCUUGGAAAGCUAAAAAACAAAACCAAAAACAAAACCAAAUGAUUUGCAUUAGGGGCAGUUUAAAAAAAUGUACUAAGGGGGCACCAAUAAAGUAAUCACGUUACAAAGCUACUUAGGAAGAAGUGUGCUUUGGAAAAUACAAAAUCAAAAAAAUAAAUAAAAAUCAGCAUUAGCAGAAGACAUAUUCUAUCUGACAAGAAAAAAAAUAAAUAAUCCAAGCAUUAUAUUUUGGAUGCAACAUAUUUGCAGGGACAGAAAGAGGGCGAAGAAACAUGCAAACUUGGCUAAUCUUUGGGUAGUUAAUACAACUUAAUUUUAUCUAAGCCACAUGAAUUCUUAAAUCUACAAUUUAGACUAGUUCCAAAGUUAUUUAAGGCUUUUAACAUCACCAGUCAGUGUAUGCCAAAGAGUGCUAAAGAUAACUGGGGCCUGAUCCACACUCCAUUUGUCUGUCUCUUCUAGUAUUUCCAUUCAGGGACUCCUCUUCCUUAAUUUUCUUCAAGCCUGCAACCAGCAGCAUCUCCUCUUGCCAGAGACAUCAUUUCUUCUUCCCCAGUCCUCAGAUAUACUAAACAUCCUUCUUUUUCUUCCUCUCAUUUCUUUCUCUGCUGAGGAACAUCCGUCUCCCUAACAGCUAACAGUAGCCUCCAGUCAAAUGCUCUGAGUUCCGCUCUGUCUCUUUCCCUUCAUCCUGGCUUUCUUCUUAAUCUCAUUCCAGUUUCUUACUAUGUGCAAUUUACUCAUUCAACAACACUUAUCUCCAGCAACUGUAACUCAUUCACAUAUACAUGGCUGUCAAACCCAGAAGCUCUACUUGUCUCAUAACAGGCAGAACCAUGACUUUUAAGAUCUGGUCCCACAGAAUUUAGUAAUUCAUAGCAGUUCUUUUUUAAUCCAAGCUAAUAAAACACUUCAUAAUUUCAUUAGCACAUCAAUCUG
Molecule: long non-coding RNA, 2788 nt
Organism: Strigops habroptila (Kakapo)
Lineage: Eukaryota; Metazoa; Chordata; Aves; Psittaciformes; Psittacidae
Source: Ensembl